GCAGGUGUGGCGGAAUGGCAGACGCAGCAGACUCAAAAUCUGCCGGUGGUAACAUCGUGCGGGUUCAAGUCCCGCCACCUGCA
RNAcentral lists this transfer RNA (83 nucleotides) under Lachnospira pectinoschiza. RNAcentral's name for it is "tRNA-Leu". It matches the Rfam family "tRNA". Rfam says of the family: Transfer RNA (tRNA) molecules are approximately 80 nucleotides in length. Their secondary structure includes four short double-helical elements and three loops (D, anti-codon, and T loops). Lineage: Bacteria; Bacillati; Bacillota; Clostridia; Lachnospirales; Lachnospiraceae. RNAcentral also lists the same sequence under 9 other names. The record is from RNAcentral.